This 101-nucleotide microRNA precursor is filed under the name Capitella teleta. RNAcentral's name for it is "microRNA cte-mir-100 precursor". Its record names the gene cte-mir-100. The stretch from base 14 to 87 matches the Rfam family "mir-10 microRNA precursor family". Rfam says of the family: In this case the mature sequence comes from the 5' arm of the precursor. The extents of the hairpin precursors are not generally known and are estimated based on hairpin prediction. Lineage: Eukaryota; Metazoa; Annelida; Polychaeta; Capitellidae. The record is from miRBase by way of RNAcentral.
AAUGUCUGCCAAGUAGCGGGAACCCGUACAACCGAACUUGUGUUUUCUGCGAAAGACCACAAGCUCGCUUUUACGGGUGUGCGUUGCUGUGGGCCUCUCGG